Molecule: long non-coding RNA, 840 nt
Organism: Bombus terrestris (buff-tailed bumblebee)
Lineage: Eukaryota; Metazoa; Arthropoda; Insecta; Hymenoptera; Apidae
Exons: 2
Source: RefSeq, a predicted model, not a curated record
CACUCUCUUGCCCAAUCAAACAAAUACUAUUAGUGAAAUUUUACUAGUUACAUUUUACUGCUAUUAGUUAAAGGUUAUAAAGUACUGUAGUGCUAAUAAAUUGUUUUGCAUAACAAUAGCAAAUUUAAUAAUGAAACAAGCUAAAUUUUGUACGUCAAUAUAAUUGUUCAACGGAAGUCUGUAACCUAAAACUUAUUAUACGUCAAUCUAAUAAUGGAAUAAAUAUCAAAAUAGAGAAUCAAAAUAGUGCAAAAGAUAAAGAAGAGGAUAGGAAUCUAUUAAAAUAAAUAGUGAAAUUUGUCUUAUAAGACAAAUAUGCUACAGUACUUAAUGGAAAGAGAUAUAAGAGAAAACUAGCCUUAUGACAAGGUACAAAUCUAGGGCAAAAUGAGGUAAUAUGGAAAAGAAUAUGGAAAAUAGAUAUUGGAGAAAAGAAGAAGAAAGAAUGUGCAAGAUAUGUGAAAGGAAUAUAGGAAAGAUUAAAUACCUGGUGGGUAUUAGCUUAGUGGAAUAGCUUAGAAAUACAUAUAGAAUAAAAAUAGAAGAGAAAUUGAUACCAAAUAGAAACCAAGUUCCAUUUCUUAAAUACAACAUCAAAGUUAAAUAAACAUAUAUGUAUAUAUAAAUAUAUAUGUAUUGUCUGAAUUUAUAAAGCUCUAUAUCAUGAUCAUAUAAAAACCUUGUCCUAUACACAUACAUAUGCAUAAAUAUACAUAUAUGUGCAUGUAGUAUAUAUAUAUAUGUACAUGAAUUUCUUGUUCAUGUAACAUUGUAAUAGACAGUAUUAUUAGAAAUAUAUUAACUGCAAAAAUGAAUAAUUAGAUAUUAUCGUAUAAUAAA